AUGAAGAGCAAGAGGAGAGGAGAGAGAGAGAGAGAAUUUCGGACGUUGAAGAUGUGAACAGCAUUUCAAGUUAACACUUGAAACAGUGAAUAACAACACAAGAACUUAUAACAAAAUGGAUUUAGUGUGUGGUGAAAACUAUGAUAAAACGAAUUUCUUAUCCAAAAAAUGUACUACAAUUCACGAUCCCGUUAUUCAUGAUGAUGAACGUGUUCUGCACAAUCUACUGGUCACCCAGAAUCGCUACGUGAUAAAAACCUCGUACUUUAAAUGUCUUCAAACGGAUCUCGAUGUGCAAAUGAGAGAAAUGGUUGCUAACUGGAUGCUUGAGGUUUGUGAAGAAGAAAGAUGUGAGAAGGAUGUGUUUCCUUUAGCCAUGAACAUCAUGGAUCGAUUUUUGUCCCAAGUUCGAAUAAGAAAAAGUCAACUGCAACUUCUUGGAGCUGUUUCCUUGUUCAUUUCGUCCAAAGUUAAACAAAUCAAACCUCUUCAUGCUCAUCGUCUUAUCCUCUACUCCGAUUAUUCAAUUACAAGAGAUCAACUAUCGAAUUGGGAACUUUUAGUUCUGAGCCAUUUAAGAUGGGAUACAAGUGCUGUCACUCCGAACGAUUUCCUCAACCUGAUUCUCCAUCGUUUACCUACACGAACCAAAGGAAAAGAUAAAUUAAUGACCAUCCAAAAACACGCACAAACAUUCAUCGCUCUCUGUGCCACAGAUUUUCGUUUUUCCAUGUUACCACCAUCAUCUAUCGCAGCUUCUUGCAUUGCAACUGCGUUUCUCGGUUUAACCAGAAACAAUUCACAAACAACCAAAGAUUUGAUCGCUCAACUUUGUAAAUUAACCAACAUUGAGAACACCGAUCUGCUGGAGAUCAGGAGGACCAUCGAGGAGGUUUUAAGAGCCCAAACCAACCACAAAUGAGAGUACACUGGAUAUGGAAACGGAAAUAGUGGACUUAAGAGAAAUUCAAAGUUUUCUCGAAUUCAGAAAAGUUACUGUAAAUGCCAAAACAAAUCGAAAAUCAAACUCAGAGAAACAACAUUAAUUUCGCAAUCAUCAAGCAUCGCUAAAAUCUUUAUCCAAUCCAAACAACUCAUUCGCUUCCCAAUACAAACCAACUGAUAAUAAGUCAAACUGAUUAAUGGUUGGUAAUUGUGUCGUCACCUCAAUUAAUUUUGUGAAAUUCAACCACAAUUUAGUCAACAUCAGAUCUUCUUACUGUGCUCAUGUGUGUUGCCCUAUGAUGAUGUUAAUCCCACUUGAAUGAGAACGUGCAAAUUAUCAAGAACAUCAUCAAUUUGAAAGGAACCUAAUCCAUUUCAUCUUCAUUUGUAUCAUUUAUCAUCACCAAAACACUCAUCUCUCUCUCUCUCUCUCUCUCUCAUCGUUUCAUUAACUUUUUCUUGUUCUUUUUGCUUUAAUCGUUAUCAUCAUCAUACUAAUCAUCAUCACUCUCAUUGCCCUUUUUCUCACCUCAAUUUUAAUCUCAAAUUACCUGAUCGAUUGUUUUGUUUAUGAAACAAAACAAAAUACAAAACCGUAACUAGUGAGAUCGCAACGACUGAUUUAGUUUUUGCUCUUUUAAAUUAUUUAGAAUGUAAAAUGUGAGAUACCGAAAUCGAGAGAGAGAGAAGAAAGUUCAAGAAACAAUGAGAUUGAAAUGAUUAAUUGAUCGAUUGAGUUUAAUUCCUGUUGCAAAAGCAAUUCUUGUUAUUAGACUAAUUGCUGAUGGAAAUUCUGGUUACUUUUGAAUAUUUGGACCAUGAAUCUAGAGUUUCAAUCACCAAUGGAAUCAACAAAAAGGCAAAGUGAUAAUUAAUCGAUUGAAUUUGGAUCAUAAGUUAUAAAUCUUUUCCCAUGUUAACUUGUCCUCACAAGCGAAGCCAUUUUGUCAAAAUGAACCAUAAUGAAUUUACCGAAGAUUUUCAGUCUGAUUAUCUUAUCAAUUUUGUAUUAAAAUAAUACCAAACGUUAUCGUGAAUAAACUGUGUUAAAUUAAAGAUUCAAAGCCACAACAGAAAAUUGUUUCAUUUUAUCCUCGAAUCAAUAAAACGUAUUUACCAUUGUCAUUGGAAAGAUAAUUUCGAUCGAGACAGAAUAGAAAAGCAAAUGUUGAUCUGAAUUGAAAAGUUCGAAAGAAGCGCUUCCGUGUGAUUGGUCGUUUCAGUUGCCUAGGAACGAAUCUCCGGAAACACUUUGGCCUUCAUUGUGUUUGUCAAUUGAAGGAAUUGCAUUGAUGCAAUUUUGUUUUGUUUAAUUUCUAAAUUAUUUUGCUUCAGUUUCGAUUAAUUGGAACCAUGAGUUCCAUACGACAACAACAGACUCAAGAACGUAAAGAUGCAUUCAAAGAAUUUAUAAAAAGUCUACCUCGUACCUGUUCUCCUACAAUCUGUGGAACCAUUGGUUGUCGUGUGGAAUCUGAAAAAAGUGAUUCUCUUUCCGAAGAUUGGCAAAGUCAAGAAUUCAAUUGGUCCAUUGACCAACUAGCCAUUUUAAAACCAUGUGAUAUAUCUCUGGAUGAACAGUUCAAUGGCGAACUUACCAACUUGGCAGAUUCAUCUUUAGACCGAGAAAAUGAAGAAUUUUUCAAACAAUUAGAAAUCUUACCUUCCCCUGCCUUUUGCAGAUUAGCUAACUUGACUCCUGGGGAAACACAAGAACCUUUUCUGACCCCAUUCUCUCGAGUUGCUCCUGGUAAUCAAUCUACACCGUACCAACCCUGUACACCUCCCCCGACUCGCAGUGCAUCUCGUACUGCUCGAUUAUCAGCUGUAUCAUCUUUAACACCUUAUGGUUAUAAUAAGACAAAGAACAAGAAAAAACUGUUUAACGACAACAAUCAAGAAGGCAUUCCUGAAGAUGCCGAAUCAAGUGGACAUCAAACUGUAGCAAUGUGCUCUAUUGAUCGCCCUUCAUCACCUUCUUCAUUGUCACUUCCAUCAUGAUUAUGUGUCAAUUUUAUGGCUAAGGGUUAACAAAGAGAAAACUUUAUAGCAUUUUCUUAUAACUUUUUAUCACCAUUGUAAUUUUUGUAAAUUCUACUUUUUCAUUCAUAACACCGAGAAAAUUUACUCGCCAAAAA
This is an RNA transcript of Panonychus citri (citrus red mite), 3083 nucleotides long. It is a transcript of the gene named aquaporin-9-like, with no coding region annotated. The transcript is spliced from 5 exons. Lineage: Eukaryota; Metazoa; Arthropoda; Arachnida; Trombidiformes; Tetranychidae. The record is from RefSeq and is a predicted model, not a curated record.